UUCAAGACCCAGUUUCUGUUUAUCAUUUUGCUAGCAGUUGAACCACUAUCCUUCAUAUCUCAAUCCUCUGCAUUACAUUUGGAACUUUGUUGAGAAUCCAAAAUCAAUACAGAGUGUGUUGUAUUCUGAAAUAUUAAGAGAUCGAUAGAAAAACAGUGGGAAGAGGAUAUGCAGAGAAAUUAGGGCAUGGAAGCACAAGAGGCAUAUGAGAGAUACGAGGAAGAGAGAGAACAAAAUAGGUAGACACCCACACGCCAACAAAUGAAAAUAAAUAGAGAAAGACACUCAAGGCUAUAUAAGAGAGAUAUAAUCAAUCCCUUUAGAGAGAGAAGGUGUUCUUUUAGAGAGAGAAGCAUACAAUGCGAAAUUAGCCAGGGUCA
RNAcentral lists this unclassified non-coding RNA (380 nucleotides) under Hevea brasiliensis (rubber tree). Lineage: Eukaryota; Viridiplantae; Streptophyta; Magnoliopsida; Malpighiales; Euphorbiaceae. The record is from RNAcentral.